UGUGUCCCUAGCACCUAGAACAGUGUCUCGCCCGUAGUAUAGGCUCAAUAAAGUUUGCUGAAUGAAAGCUUUGUCAGAGGGUCAAAGUUGGGGAAGUGGCUGGCUUCUACAGAACAAGCCGCUUAACCAGAUGGAACUAUGAAAUCACAGUACCCCACAUCUCACCAUCAGUCGUUCCAUUUUAUCCUUCCUUCACUGUCUCCAACCUUUUGCUGCCAAUUCUAUAAAUGCUGGUUUUUCCUUGAGGUUCUGUCAUUGACCCUUUUCUAUUUUACCUUGGCAACGGUGGCCUAUCUGUUCUUUCUUGGUUUCAGUAUGUUUUCAUCUCCCAAACCUAUAGAUCUCAAUCACAGGUUUGCCCCAGACCUAUAUUUUCAACUUCCCCUGACAUUCACUUGGAUGUCCUGAGCCUCCAUCCAGUCGUAAUCUUUUUGCUGGUGGAGAGUCUUGCCUCAAUGUUGAUGGCUGCUGACCAAUCAGGGUGGUGGUUGCUGAAGGUUCGGGUCGCUGUGGCAAUUUCUUAAAAUAAGACAACAAUGAAGUUUGCCACAUCGGUUGACUCUUCCUUUCACGAACAAUUUCUCUGUAACAUGCAAUGCUGUUUGAUAGCAUUUUACCCACAGUCCAACUUCUUUUUUUUUCCUUUGAGGCAGAUUAGCCCUGAGCGAACAUCUGUCACCAAUCCUCCUCUUUUUUGCUGAGGAAGAUUGGCCCUGAGCUAACAUCCAUGCCCAUCUUCCUCUAUAUGUGGGAUGCCUACCACAUCAUGGCUUGCCAAGCAGUGCGUAGGUCUGUACCUGGGAUCCAAACCAGCGAACCCCGGGCCACCAAAGUGGAAUGUGGGAAUGUAACUGCUGUGCCACCCGGCUGGCCCCUAGAACUUCUUACGAAAUUAGUCUCAAUCCUCUCAAACCCUGCCACUGCUUUAUCAAUUAAGUUUAUGUAAUAAUCUAAAUCCUUUGUUGUCAUUUCAACAAUCUUCACAGCAUCUUCACCACGAGUAGAUCCCAUCUCAUGGAACCACUCUUUGCUCAUCCAUGAGAAGUAACUCCUCAGCCAUUAAAGUUUUAUUGUGAGAUUGCAGUCACAUCUUCACAUCUUCAGGCUCCACUUAGAAUUCUAGUUCUCUUGCUAUUUCCACCACAUCUUCAGUUACUUCCUCCACUGAAGUCUUGAAGCCCUCAGAGUCAUCCAUGAGGGUUGGAAUCAACUUCUUCCAAACCCCUGUUAAUGCUGAUAUUUUUUUCAACUUCUUCCCAUGAAUCAUGAAUGUUCUUAAUGGCAUCUAGAAUGGUGAAUCCUUCCCAGAGGGUUUUUCAAUUUACUUUGCCCAGAUUCAUCAGAGAAAUCACUGUCUAUGGCAGCUAAAGCCUUAUGAAAUGGGUAUCUUAAAUAAUAAGACUUGAAAAUUGAGAUUACUCCUUGAUCCAUGGGCUGCAGAAUGGAUGUUGGGUUGACAGGCCUGAAAACAGCAUUAAUCUCAUAGUACAGCUCCAUCAGAGUUCUUGGGUGACCAGUGCCUUGUCAAUGAGCAGUCAUAUUUUGAAAGGAAUUUUUUUUUCUGAGCAGUAGGUUUCAACAGUGGGGUUAAAAUAUUCAGUAAACCGUGUUGUAAACAGAUGAGCCAUCACCCAGGCUUCCUUGUUCCGUUUAUAGAGCACAGGCAGAGUAGAUUUAGCCCAAUUCUUAAGGGCCUUGGGAUUUUCUGAAUGGUAAGUGAACAUUGCCUUCAAAUUAAGGUCACCAGCUGUGUGAGCCCCUAACAAGAGAGUCAGCCUGUCCUUUGAAGAUUUGGAGCCAGACGUUGACUUCUCCUCUCUACCUAUGAAACUCCUAGAUAGCAUCUUCUUCUACAUUGAAAAUCUGUUUAGUGUAGCUGCCCUCAUGAAUUAUCUGAGCUAGACCUUUUGGAGAACUUGCUGCAGCUUCUGCAUCAGCACUUGCUGCUUCCCCUUGCACUUUUAGGUUAUGGAGAUGGCUUCUUUCCUUAAACCUCAUGAGCCAACUUCUACUCACUUCAAACUUUUCUUCUGCAACUUCCUUACCUCUCUCAACCUUCAUAGAAUUGAAGACAGGCCCUUGCUCUGGAUUAGUCUUUGGCUUAGGGGAAUGCUGUGGCUGGUGUUAUCUAUCCAGACCACGAACUUUCUCCAUAGCAACAUUAUAGCUGUUUUGCUUUCUUAUCAUUUGUGUGUUCACUAGAGUAAUUUCCUUCAAGAACUUUCCCUUUGCGUUCACAAGUUGGCUAACUGGCUCAAGAGGCCUAGCUUUUGGUGUAUCUCAGCUUUCGACAUGCCUUCCUCAUUAAAUUUAAUCAUUUCUAGCUUUUGAUUUAAAGUGAGAGACGUGUGGCUCUUCCUUUCACUUGAACACUUAGAGGCCAUUGUAGGGUUAUGAAUUGGCCUACUUUAGAUAUUGUUGUGUCUCAGGGAAUGGGGGGUGCCUGAGGAGAGGGAGAGAGAUGGGGAAUGGCUGGUCGGUGGAGCAGUCAGAACACACGCAACAUUUAUUGAUUAAGUUCAUCUGAUAUGGGCACAGUUCAUUGUGCCCCAAACAAUUACAAUAGUAACAUCAAAGAUCACUAUCACAGAUCACCAUAACAAAUAUAAUGGUGCCUGAAAAACUAAGUACAAAUUUACCAAGCAAGCUAUGGACUAAAAUAAUCCUACAGCUGAGAUGAAAUGACUGAUGGAUAAAAGCUGGUGCAUUUUGCUCUGGAAGGUGUCUUUGAGAACAUCAGCGAGUGUUCAUCUAUUGCUGAAUAACAAAUGACUCCCAAAAUUUAACAACUUAAAACAACAAACAUUUGUUAUCUCAGACCAUUUCUGUGCAUCAGGAAUCUGGAGUGGCUUAUUUGGGUGAUUCUGGCUCAAGGUCUCUCAAGAGGAUACAGUCAAGGUAUUGGCCUAGACUACAGUCAACUGGGACUGGAAGAUCUGUUUUCAGGAAAACUGAUUCACAUGGUUAUUGGCAAGAGGCCGCAGUUCCUUGCCAGGUUGACCUCUCCAUAGGGUUGCUUGGAUGUCAUCAUGACAUGGCAGCUGGCUUCCCCCAGAGAAAAUGAUCCCAAAGAGAACAAGACAGAAGCCACAAUGUCUUUUAUGACCUAACCUCAGAAGUCAUACACACUAUCCUGUUGGUGACACAGGUUACCCUAGUCCGUGUUGGACAGGACUCUCUAGGGAUGUGAAUACUAACAGGCCUCAGAAAUGUUGCCACAUAAGGACCGUCUUUGAAAUCACUCCUGAAGUAAGUAUAAAGCAAGAAGAGAACUGAGUCCAGGACAAAGCAAGGAGCUAUGAGGAGCAAAGGCAGGAACUGGAAAGCUGGAAAGAAUGAAUAAACUGGUCGUUGUAUUUCUCUGACAUGAAGGAAGCCACUGCAGC
RNAcentral lists this long non-coding RNA (3386 nucleotides) under Equus caballus (horse). RNAcentral's name for it is "lncRNA (ENSECAG00000046663.1)". The record is from RNAcentral. Lineage: Eukaryota; Metazoa; Chordata; Mammalia; Perissodactyla; Equidae.